CAACCUGAGAGUUUGAUCCUGGCUCAGAGCGAACGCUGGCGGCAGGCCUAACACAUGCAAGUCGAACGGACCCUUCGGGGUUAGUGGCGGACGGGUGAGUAACACGUGGGCAACCUGCCUUGUAGUGGGGGAUAGCCCUCCGAAAGGAGGAUUAAUACCGCAUAUUGUCACAUUGAGGCAUCUCAAAGUGAUGAAAGGAGUAAUCCGCUAUGAGAUGGACCCGCGGCGCAUUAGCUAGUUGGUGAGGUAACGGCUCACCAAGGCCACGAUGCGUAGCCGACCUGAGAGGGUGAUCGGCCACAUUGGGACUGAGACACGGCCCAAACUCCUACGGGAGGCAGCAGUGGGGAAUCUU
RNAcentral lists this ribosomal RNA (355 nucleotides) under Brevundimonas sp. Its description in RNAcentral is "bacterial SSU rRNA". It matches the Rfam family "Bacterial small subunit ribosomal RNA", at positions 1 to 365 of the family's 1533-position model. The record is from RNAcentral. Lineage: Bacteria; Pseudomonadati; Pseudomonadota; Alphaproteobacteria; Caulobacterales; Caulobacteraceae.